RNAcentral lists this ribosomal RNA (722 nucleotides) under uncultured Pseudomonadales bacterium. Its description in RNAcentral is "bacterial SSU rRNA". It matches the Rfam family "Bacterial small subunit ribosomal RNA", at positions 43 to 760 of the family's 1533-position model. Lineage: Bacteria; Pseudomonadati; Pseudomonadota; Gammaproteobacteria; Pseudomonadales. The record is from RNAcentral.
CAGGCCUAACACAUGCAAGUCGAGCGGAUGAGAAGAGCUUGCUCUUCGAUUCAGCGGCGGACGGGUGAGUAAUGCCUAGGAAUCUGCCUGGUAGUGGGGGACAACGUUUCGAAAGGAACGCUAAUACCGCAUACGUCCUACGGGAGAAAGCAGGGGACCUUCGGGCCUUGCGCUAUCAGAUGAGCCUAGGUCGGAUUAGCUAGUUGGUGAGGUAAUGGCUCACCAAGGCGACGAUCCGUAACUGGUCUGAGAGGAUGAUCAGUCACACUGGAACUGAGACACGGUCCAGACUCCUACGGGAGGCAGCAGUGGGGAAUAUUGGACAAUGGGCGAAAGCCUGAUCCAGCCAUGCCGCGUGUGUGAAGAAGGUCUUCGGAUUGUAAAGCACUUUAAGUUGGGAGGAAGGGCAUUAACCUAAUACGUUAGUGUUUUGACGUUACCGACAGAAUAAGCACCGGCUAACUCUGUGCCAGCAGCCGCGGUAAUACAGAGGGUGCAAGCGUUAAUCGGAAUUACUGGGCGUAAAGCGCGCGUAGGUGGUUUGUUAAGUUGGAUGUGAAAGCCCCGGGCUCAACCUGGGAACUGCAUCCAAAACUGGCAAGCUAGAGUACGGUAGAGGGUGGUGGAAUUUCCUGUGUAGCGGUGAAAUGCGUAGAUAUAGGAAGGAACACCAGUGGCGAAGGCGACCACCUGGACUGAUACUGACACUGAGGUGCGAAAGC